UAUCAUUGGCACAAAUGGGCAAACCCGUAUGUAGACUCACCUUGAGCGUCAAGCUGGAUGACAGGUCAAGGGUAUGGAUGAAAAACAAUUUGAAGUAGACGAGAUACUUUUAUGUACUCAACUUUUUCAAUGGCCGGAAAUGAAAGUAGCAAUGACAAAGCAUUCUGAACAGUAACGACAACAAAAUAUUUCGAUGGUCAAAGUACAAAAAGCGACAGAUAGUGACAGAAAUAGAGUAAAAGUUCACUGAUGAAUUGCCAAUAGAGUAAUUGAUCUCGAAAGUAGCUGUGUGAAACCUUUUGACCAGUGACCGCGAAGGAUGUGGUUGCAGAGGACAAGUCAUCGUCUGCAACUAAGUACUGUAGUUUCAUCUAAAGAAAGUGCAGCAGAGUAAGAAGCUACGACGACGACAAAGAGGAGAGAAUUGGAAGCUAAAAGAUCACACGAGAAACUGAGGUAAAAAGGAGGGUAUUGGUUCCCUUUUGUUUAAUCAGUCUGUCUGAAAUUUACUGAUUCGACUAAUUCAGAUACUCAUCGAAAGGCCCAUUAAGAAGUUUUUCAUUUCAUGGCUCCAACUCCAAACUUUUAAUAAAUACAAAUGGAUCUCAAUAUGAUGCCUCAGGGAUUAUUUUUUCUUCUUUUCUAUAUGGACAUUUGCUUUAGGAGUGACUUGUCAUUGUCCAUUUAAAUAUUCGAAUCGAAUUAUUCCCUGCCAAAAUGCAUAUGGAAAUGGUCUUUGUAAAGUGA
Molecule: long non-coding RNA, 747 nt
Organism: Solanum dulcamara
Lineage: Eukaryota; Viridiplantae; Streptophyta; Magnoliopsida; Solanales; Solanaceae
Exons: 2
Source: RefSeq, a predicted model, not a curated record